ACGAACAAAAAAAAGAAAGGAAACGACACCAAAGACAACCACACACACAAGAGUAAGCCGUUGGUUCUGUCUUUUUUUUACUUCUUGUCUUGUUCCCUCUCUUCUGCCAUUGUCGAUACGUUUUUCAUUUCCAGUUCGGUGGGAUUUUC
This 149-nucleotide non-coding RNA is filed under the name uncultured Nitzschia. The record is from RNAcentral. Lineage: Eukaryota; Bacillariophyta; Bacillariophyceae; Bacillariales; Bacillariaceae.